GAUGAACGCUGGCGGCGUGCCUAAUACAUGCAAGUCGAGCGAACAGACGAGGAGCUUGCUCCUUUGACGUUAGCGGCGGACGGGUGAGUAACACGUAGGUAACCUACCUAUAAGACUGGGAUAACUUCGGGAAACCGGAGCUAAUACCGGAUAAUAUUUCGAACCGCAUGGUUCGAUAGUGAAAGAUGGCUUUGCUAUAACUUAUAGAUGGACCUGCGCCGUAUUAGCUAGUUGGUAAGGUAACGGCUUACCAAGGCAACGAUACGUAGCCGACCUGAGAGGGUGAUCGGCCACACGGGAACUGAGACACGGUCCAGACUCCUACGGGAGGCAGCAGUAGGGAAUCUUCCGCAAUGGGCGAAAGCCUGACGGAGCAACGCCGCGUGAGUGAUGAAGGUCUUCGGAUCGUAAAACUCUGUUAUUAGGGAAGAACAAACGUGUAAGUAACUGUGCACGUCUUGACGGUACCUAAUCAGAAAGCCACGGCUAACUACGUG
This 497-nucleotide ribosomal RNA is filed under the name uncultured bacterium. RNAcentral describes it as "partial 16S ribosomal RNA". It matches the Rfam family "Bacterial small subunit ribosomal RNA", at positions 28 to 507 of the family's 1533-position model. The record is from RNAcentral.